This 459-nucleotide ribosomal RNA is filed under the name uncultured bacterium. RNAcentral's name for it is "partial 16S ribosomal RNA". It matches the Rfam family "Bacterial small subunit ribosomal RNA", at positions 338 to 795 of the family's 1533-position model. The record is from RNAcentral.
CCUACGGGCGGCAGCAGUGAGGAAUAUUGGUCAAUGGCCGAGAGGCUGAACCAGCCAAGUCGCGUGAGGGAAGACUGCCCUACGGGUUGUAAACCUCUUUUGUCGGGGUGCAAAGCGAACCACGUGUGGCUCAUUGAGAGUACUCUAAGAAAAAGCAUCGGCUAACUCCGUGCCAGCAGCCGCGGUAAUACGGAGGAUGCGAGCGUUAUCCGGAUUUAUUGGGUUUAAAGGGUGCGCAGGCGGAUGUGAAAGUCAGCGGUAAAAUUUCGGGGCUCAACGCCGUACUGCCGUUGAAACUGCAUGCCUUGAGUGCGCGAGAGGUAUGCGGAAUGCGUGGUGUAGCGGUGAAAUGCAUAGAUAUCACGCAGAACUCCGAUUGCGAAGGCAGCAUACCGGAGCGCAACUGACGCUGAUGCACGAAAGCGUGGGUAUCGAACAGGAUUAGAUACCCUUGUAGUC